Molecule: long non-coding RNA, 449 nt
Organism: Talpa occidentalis (Iberian mole)
Lineage: Eukaryota; Metazoa; Chordata; Mammalia; Eulipotyphla; Talpidae
Exons: 3
Source: RefSeq, a predicted model, not a curated record
CCACGCCCAUCAGGUGGUCCCCCCAGCAGCCUGACAGUUUGAAAAUUCAAACUCAAACGGAGCAAAUAUGCCGCGUCUUCUCCAAAAAUAGUGUCAGUGAAAAUUCCAGGAAGCCACUAAAAUGGCAAAAGGGGUCUACUUGGAUUUCAAACCUCGCUCAGGAUUGUUUAGCAGUGACCACAGAUGACUCCAUGGACACAGAGGACAAAAAUCAUCAAAUGAAGAGCCUUAAUUCCUGAAUGAUCACACGAAGUGCUACCCAGUCAGAAAGACACUGAUAUGAGAGAGGGAUGGAUUUUAUAGGUUGAAGCAUCUGCAAUUCCAGGACCUGGGGCCACUGGAGCUGAAUCUUCUUCCAGAAGCAAUCUGCCAACAGCAGCAAAGCCACCUGCAAGAAAGAAUACAAAGGAGGAGUAAAAGGGAAAUGAUAGCAAGGUAAAGAAUUUACC